GCAGCACCGGCCGCGGGCUACGCAAUCAUAAUAAUAAUAAUACAACCCGGGCCGCACACUGACGGUCCGCCACCAAAUAACAUAAACAUUAGACAGGUAUAUUACGGCGAUACUCGAUUAUUUUAUCGGUAAGUAGGUGUAGAUACACACGCGCGUUUUCAAAAUCAACACGCUACAAUCGGCUCUCGAUAACGCCGAGAAUAAUAGUAUUAUCGUAGGCGUCGACCGUGUAUUAUUCCGCUCGCGACGAAUCGCACACGUGACGACGGUGACGACGACGACGACGACGAUCCGUACGUGUAACCCGGAUUUCCGCGGCCCCGU
This is a non-coding RNA of Cinara cedri, 324 nucleotides long. The record is from the annotation of a GenBank genome assembly. Lineage: Eukaryota; Metazoa; Arthropoda; Insecta; Hemiptera; Aphididae.